RNAcentral lists this ribosomal RNA (253 nucleotides) under uncultured bacterium. RNAcentral's name for it is "partial 16S ribosomal RNA". It matches the Rfam family "Bacterial small subunit ribosomal RNA", at positions 524 to 776 of the family's 1533-position model. The record is from RNAcentral.
UACGUAGGGUGCGAGCGUUGUCCGGAAUUAUUGGGCGUAAAGAGCUCGUAGGCGGCUUGUUGCGUCGACCGUGAAAACCCGGGGCUCAACUUCGGGCUCGCGGUCGAUACGGGCGGGCUAGAGUUCGGUAGGGGAGACUGGAAUUCCUGGUGUAGCGGUGAAAUGCGCAGAUAUCAGGAGGAACACCGGUGGCGAAGGCGGGUCUCUGGGCCGAUACUGACGCUGAGGAGCGAAAGCGUGGGGAGCGAACAGG